AUGGUAUCUCUCAAAUUGAGCAACGCCAAAUUGGGGAUGAUUUCUAAGGUACAAACAUUGGAUCCGGACAUGUCACAUGGGCUCUUUAUUGUGUUUCUAAGGACACUGAUGGGUUGGGUUUGCAUGCAACGCAGUAAGGACCAACAAAAUGGUCUCAUUGCAAGGUCACUCCCUGGACGUAUAGGCAAGCAAUGUCAAGAGAGGUGGCAUAAUCAUCUGAAUCCAGAAUACAGAGAGAUGCUUGGACUACUGAGGAACAUGCACAAAUUAAUGCCCAUCGGGUAUAUGGGAAUAAAUGGGCAGAAAUAG
RNAcentral lists this ribosomal RNA (309 nucleotides) under Triticum aestivum (bread wheat). RNAcentral's name for it is "partial small subunit ribosomal RNA". The record is from RNAcentral. Lineage: Eukaryota; Viridiplantae; Streptophyta; Magnoliopsida; Poales; Poaceae.